This 447-nucleotide ribosomal RNA is filed under the name uncultured bacterium. Its description in RNAcentral is "bacterial SSU rRNA". It matches the Rfam family "Bacterial small subunit ribosomal RNA", at positions 354 to 796 of the family's 1533-position model. The record is from RNAcentral.
GUGAGGAAUAUUGGUCAAUGGCCGAGAGGCUGAACCAGCCAAGUAGCGUGCAGGAUGACGGCCCUCGUGGUUGUAAACUGCUUUUAGUCGGGAAUAAAAGGGGGUUCGUGAACCCCGUAUUGUAUGUACCGUCAGAAAAAGGACCGGCUAAUUCCGUGCCAGCAGCCGCGGUAAUACGGAAGGUCCGGGCGUUAUCCGGAUUUAUUGGGUUUAAAGGGAGCGUAGGCGGGCCGUUAAGUCAGUUGUGAAAGUUCGGGGCUCAACCCCGGAAUUGCAGUUGAAACUGCCGGUCUUGAGUACACGCAGGGAAGCCUGAAUUCAUGGUGUAGCGGUGAAAUGCUUAGAUAUCAUGAAGACGACCGAUCGCGAAGGCAGGUUUCCGGAGUGUAACUGACGCUGAGGCUCGAAAGUGCGGGUAUCAAACAGGAUUAGAUACCCUAGUAGUCC